RNAcentral lists this ribosomal RNA (252 nucleotides) under uncultured Bacteroidales bacterium. Its description in RNAcentral is "partial 16S ribosomal RNA". It matches the Rfam family "Bacterial small subunit ribosomal RNA", at positions 524 to 776 of the family's 1533-position model. The record is from RNAcentral. Lineage: Bacteria; Pseudomonadati; Bacteroidota; Bacteroidia; Bacteroidales.
UACGUAGGGGGCAAGCGUUAUCCGGAUUUACUGGGUGUAAAGGGAGCGUAGACGGCGGUGCAAGCCAGAUGUGAAAGCCCGGGGCUCAACCCCGGCCUGCCGUCGGAACUGGGUGCCUUGAGUGGGCGAGAAGUAUGCGGAAUGCGUGGUGUAGCGGUGAAAUGCAUAGAUAUCACGCAGAACUCCGAUUGCGAAGGCAGCAUACCGGCGCCCAACUGACGCUGAAGCACGAAAGCGUGGGUAUCGAACAGG